Molecule: non-coding RNA, 74 nt
Organism: Podarcis lilfordi (Lilford's wall lizard)
Lineage: Eukaryota; Metazoa; Chordata; Lepidosauria; Squamata; Lacertidae
Source: the annotation of a GenBank genome assembly
GCAAAAGGAAUCCGAAGCCUUUGGAGCACAGCGCGAGUUCUCGCUGCGCUCCAAAGGCUUCGGGUUCCUUUUGC